RNAcentral lists this ribosomal RNA (445 nucleotides) under uncultured bacterium. Its description in RNAcentral is "bacterial SSU rRNA". It matches the Rfam family "Bacterial small subunit ribosomal RNA", at positions 29 to 506 of the family's 1533-position model. The record is from RNAcentral.
AUGAACGCUAGCGGUGCGCUUAACACAUGCAAGUCGAACGGAUCCAAGGGGCUUGCUCCUUGGGUUAGUGGCGAACGGGCGAGUAUAAAGUUUGUACCUGCCCUGAAGUCGGGGAUAACGCGCCGAAAGGCGUGCUAAUACCGGAUGGUCCCGAGAGGGUAAAGCCGCAAGGCGCUUCAGGAGGGGCAUGCUCCCUAUCAGCUAGUUGGCGGGGUAAAGGCCCACCAAGGCUAUGACGGGUAGUUGGUCUGAGAGGACGGCCAGCCGCAAUGGGACUGAGACACGGCCCAUACUCCUACGGGAGGCAGCAGUGAGGAAUCUUCCGCAAUGGGCGAAAGCCUGACGGAGCGACACCGCGUGGAGGAUGACGCGUUUAUUCGUGUAAACUCCUUUUCUAUGGGAAGAUAAUGACGGUACCAUAGGAAUAAGGGACGGCUAACUACGU